This 459-nucleotide ribosomal RNA is filed under the name uncultured bacterium. RNAcentral's name for it is "partial 16S ribosomal RNA". It matches the Rfam family "Bacterial small subunit ribosomal RNA", at positions 338 to 795 of the family's 1533-position model. The record is from RNAcentral.
CCUACGGGAGGCAGCAGUGAGGAAUAUUGGUCAAUGGGCGCAAGCCUGAACCAGCCAAGUCGCGUGAAGGAAGACGGUCCUAUGGAUUGUAAACUUCUUUUGUCGGGGGGCAAAAGACGCCACGCGUGGCGGUCCGAGGGUACCCGAAGAAAAAGCAUCGGCUAACUCCGUGCCAGCAGCCGCGGUAAUACGGAGGAUGCGAGCGUUAUCCGGAUUUAUUGGGUUUAAAGGGUGCGCAGGCGGAAGGUUAAGUCAGCGGUAAAAUCGAGAGGCUCAACCUCUGCGAGCCGUUGAAACUGGUUUUCUUGAGUGAGUGAGAGGUAUGCGGAAUGCGUGGUGUAGCGGUGAAAUGCAUAGAGAUCACGCAGAACUCCGAUUGCGAAGGCAGCAUACCGGCGGUCAACUGACGCUGAUGCACGAAAGUGUGGGUAUCGAACAGGAUUAGAUACCCGAGUAGUC